This 253-nucleotide ribosomal RNA is filed under the name uncultured bacterium. Its description in RNAcentral is "partial 16S ribosomal RNA". It matches the Rfam family "Bacterial small subunit ribosomal RNA", at positions 524 to 776 of the family's 1533-position model. The record is from RNAcentral.
UACAGAGGGUGCGAGCGUUAAUCGGACUUACUGGGCGUAAAGCGUGCGUAGGCGGCUUUCUAAGUCAGGGGUGAAAUCCUGGAGCUCAACUCCAGAACUGCCUUUGAUACUGGAGAGCUCGAGUCCGGAAGAGGUGAGUGGAACUCCGAGUGUAGAGGUGAAAUUCGUAGAUAUUCGGAAGAACACCAGUGGCGAAGGCGGCUCACUGGUCCGGUACUGACGCUGAUGUGCGAAAGCGUGGGGAGCAAACAGG